UCAUUUUCAGAUUUCAAAUUUCGAAUUUCAAACUUUACCUCAUUACGCAAAAAUGGUUAUAGCACAGAAACUCAAGGAAGCAGAAAUUACAGAACAAGAUUCUCUAUUACUGACGAGAAACCUGCUUCGUAUUGCGAUAUUCAACAUCAGC
Long non-coding RNA from Papaver somniferum (opium poppy), 151 nucleotides. RefSeq lists it as uncharacterized. The transcript has 3 exons. The record is from RefSeq and is a predicted model, not a curated record. NCBI's taxonomy places the organism in Eukaryota, Viridiplantae, Streptophyta, Magnoliopsida, Ranunculales, Papaveraceae.